RNAcentral lists this long non-coding RNA (480 nucleotides) under Mus spicilegus (steppe mouse). Its description in RNAcentral is "lncRNA (ENSMSIG00000023218.1)". The record is from RNAcentral. Lineage: Eukaryota; Metazoa; Chordata; Mammalia; Rodentia; Muridae.
AUUAACACUAACUGUCAUAAUAUGCAUAUUUGUUUUGUGAUUUCUCUUAGAUCGAUAUAACAGAGUGAGCUGGAUAUAGUGGGCCAUGCCUUUAAUCCCGGAACUCCACGUAGUGAGUUCUACAGCAGCCAGAACUACAUAGUAAGAGUCUGUCUCAAAAUCCUCAACACCAAAACAGAAAAGAAAAACAGAAAAAAAAAAAAAAAAGAAAGAAAGAAAAGGUGCUACGGCUCAAAGGAAGGAAGAAGACAACACGGUGCAUUUGGAAUACUUUUGAUCAUCGUUUACAUGUAUCUACUUUUAUUCAACACUGACUCCUCAGCUUAUUUUCCCAUUGUAGUGGAUAAACACCCUUGAGGACGCACGUGAGCAUGUAUCAGCAUAUGGACAUCUAGACCAGCCACGGGCUGGUGGAGCCAUCGUCUCAGGUGGCAGGUAGCUACUGCAUUGCCUAGCAUGUGUCUGAUGGGAAAGAGUAAG